UCGCGGUGGCGGAGCGUCGUUUGCGACGCCCAACACACAAAACAAGCGGUGAGUGCUUUGGGGUGGGGUGACUGCGUACCUUUUGUAUAAUGGGUCAGCGACUUAUAUUCUGUAGCAAGGUUAACCGUAUAGGGGAGCCGUAGGGAAACCGAGUCUUAACCGGGCGUUAAGUUGCAGGGUAUAGACCCGAAACCCGGUGAUCUAGCCAUGGGCAGGUUGAAGGUUGGGUAACACUAACUGGAGGACCGAACCGACUAAUGUUGAAAAAUUAGCGGAUGACCUGUGGCUGGGGGUGAAAGGCCAAUCAAACCGGGAGAUAGCUGGUUCUCCCCGAAAGCUAUUUAGGUAGCGCCUCGUGAAUUCAUCUCCGGGGGUAGAGCACUGUUUCGGCUAGGGGGCCAUCCCGGCUUACCAACCCGAUGCAAACUGCGAAUACCGGAGAAUGUUAUCACGGGAGACACACGGCGGGUGCUAACGUCCGUCGUGAAGAGGGAAACAACCCAGACCGCCAGCUAAGGUCCCAAAGUCAUGGUUAAGUGGGAAACGAUGUGGGAAGGCCCAGACAGCCAGGAUGUUGGCUUAGAAGCAGCCAUCAUUUAAAGAAAGCGUAAUAGCUCACUGGUCGAGUCGGCCUGCGCGGAAGAUGUAACGGGGCUAAACCAU
Molecule: ribosomal RNA, 663 nt
Filed under: Salmonella enterica subsp. enterica serovar Anatum
Lineage: Bacteria; Pseudomonadati; Pseudomonadota; Gammaproteobacteria; Enterobacterales; Enterobacteriaceae
Description: partial 23S ribosomal RNA
Rfam family: Bacterial large subunit ribosomal RNA
Source: RNAcentral